This 250-nucleotide ribosomal RNA is filed under the name uncultured bacterium. Its description in RNAcentral is "partial 16S ribosomal RNA". It matches the Rfam family "Bacterial small subunit ribosomal RNA", at positions 524 to 771 of the family's 1533-position model. The record is from RNAcentral.
UACGGGAGGGGGCUAGCGUUGUUCGGAAUUAUUGGGCGUAAAGAGCUUGUAGGCGGUUUGUCGCGUCUGCUGUGAAAUUUCGGGGCUCAACCCCGAACUUGCAGUGGGUACGGGCAGACUAGAGUGUGGUAGGGGAGACUGGAAUUCCUGGUGUAGCGGUGAAAUGCGCAGAUAUCAGGAGGAACACCGAUGGCGAAGGCAGGUCUCCGUGGCCACUACUGACGCUGAGAAGCGGAAAGCUGGGGAGCGA